This 494-nucleotide ribosomal RNA is filed under the name uncultured bacterium. RNAcentral describes it as "partial 16S ribosomal RNA". It matches the Rfam family "Bacterial small subunit ribosomal RNA", at positions 28 to 507 of the family's 1533-position model. The record is from RNAcentral.
GACGAACGCUGGCGGCGUGCUUAACACAUGCAAGUCGAACGGUUAAGCGCCUUCCUUUUUGGUGGGUGUGGGUGAGUGGCGAACGGGUGAGUAACACGUGAGUAACCUGCCCCCUUCUUCUGGAUAACCGCAUGAAAGUGUGGCUAAUACGGGAUAUUCUGGGUCUGUCGCACGAUGGGUCUGGGAAAGAUCUUGUUUCGGUGGGGGAUGGGCUGGCGGCCUAUCAGCUUGUGGGGGGGGUGAUGGCCUACCAAGGCGGUGACGGGUGCCCGGCAGGGGAGGGUGGACGGGCUCGCGGGGACGGGGGAACGGCCACGACUGGAACGGGAGACAGCAGUGGCGACUACUGGACACUGGGGGCGAGACUGAUGCAGCGACGCCGCGAGAGGGAUGGAGGACUGCGGGUUGUGAACAUCUGUCGCCAGUGAAGCAGGCCUGCCUCGUGUGUGGGUGGGUUGACGGUAGCUGGAGAAGAAGCGCCGGCUAACUACGUG